This 73-nucleotide transfer RNA is filed under the name Exophiala aquamarina CBS 119918. It matches the Rfam family "tRNA". From Rfam's summary of the family: Transfer RNA (tRNA) molecules are approximately 80 nucleotides in length. Lineage: Eukaryota; Fungi; Ascomycota; Eurotiomycetes; Chaetothyriales; Herpotrichiellaceae. The record is from Rfam by way of RNAcentral.
ACCAGGGUAGUUUAAAUGGUUAGAACAUUAAUUUCAUGCAUUAAUAAUGAAGAUUCAAAUUCUUCUUCUGGUA